Pollicipes pollicipes is the source of this 461-nucleotide long non-coding RNA. RefSeq lists it as uncharacterized. Lineage: Eukaryota; Metazoa; Arthropoda; Thecostraca; Pollicipedomorpha; Pollicipedidae. The record is from RefSeq and is a predicted model, not a curated record. The transcript is spliced from 4 exons.
GGGUAGUGCAAUUCAUUGAUCAGGGUUGUGCUACAAGUACCUGUCUGUAGCGCCAUGGCUAAGAUGCCAUCAUAGCAAAAUUACCAACAGGGCACCUGCCUCUCAUAUGCUCCUUGCUGUAGCCAAAACUCUACAAAAUUAUUCAAGUUUAAAAAGAGUAUGUCUGGCAAAAAGAAGAAUAGCAUUUGCAUCAGAAGAGUAUACUUUAACUUUAUAUAUCAAGCCCUGAAGCAGUUUUUGUACACUGACCCAAUGCUGCGGUGGUGUCGGGUUGUUGGCCAACCUUGCAUUUUCUGCAGUUGUCAGUAGAUUGGCCAGCGGAGAAGAGAAAGGGCGACAGUCACCAUGAGCCUGGGGCCGAGCCUGAUCGUGCCGGUGGUGUUGUGGGGCCGGCACCCGCCCACCCACCGGAUCUCGUGCGUCUACCUGACGCCCGACCAGAGGACGCUCGUCACAGGAUG